This 482-nucleotide ribosomal RNA is filed under the name uncultured bacterium. RNAcentral describes it as "partial 16S ribosomal RNA". It matches the Rfam family "Bacterial small subunit ribosomal RNA", at positions 28 to 507 of the family's 1533-position model. The record is from RNAcentral.
GACGAACGCUGGCGGCGUGCUUAACACAUGCAAGUCGAACGAUGAAGAAGAGAAACGCGAACUUCGGUUCAAAUUUCACUUCGGAUUAGUGGCAGACGGGUGAGUAACGCGUGAGCAACCUACCUCUCACAAAGGGAUAGCCUCGGGAAACCGUGAUUAAUACCAUAUGACACAUUCAUAAGGCAUCUUAAGAAUGUUAAAGCUACGGCGGUAAGAGAUGGGCUCGCGUCCCAUUAGCUAGUUGGUGAGGUAACGGCCCACCAAGGCGACGAUGGGUAACCGGCCUGAGAGGGUGAACGGUCACAUUGGAACUGAGACACGGUCCAAACUCCUACGGGAGGCAGCAGUGGGGAAUAUUGCACAAUGGAGGGAACUCUGAUGCAGCGACGCCGCGUGAGCGAUGAAGGAAUUCGUUUCGUAAAGCUCUGUUCUAUGGGAAGAAAAGGACUGUACCAUAGGAGAAAGCCCCGGCUAAAUACGUG